AUGGCGACGGUCCACGCGCGCUUGGGCUGCCUUCCGCAACCGCCUCCUCCUCGACUUCCCCGCCGCCGCGCCACCUUCUCCUCCGGUUCCCGCCGGUCCGCCGCGGCUCGCAGUCGCGUUACGAGUUUGCGCAGGGCGUCCCGUUUGGGUCCAUGGACUGCGCAGGCAAUGUCUGGCGCAGAACCUCCUGCUGGUGGCGGCGAAGCUGGUGAGAUCAUCGAUGCGGUGGAAGUGGAACCUAGCAAUGCUGGCGCUUCCUUGCUUGCAAAAGUGGCAGUUGCACUGGGUGUUGCGGUGACGGUCACCGCGAUAUCGAUUUUCAUGAAGCAACCUUCCUCUGGUCCUUCUUUCAGCCUGCCACAGAUUAUUGAUGCUUCCGCGCAGUCAGAUACUGUCGGAUAUACAUUUUCUCAGUUCGGGAAGAAGGUCAUCAUUCCGGAAUAUACGCCAGGGUGGGUCUACUUCUGGUUGCUCAUGGCUGCUGGAUUUGGACUGUUUGUCAGUGAAGAAGCUUUAAACGUUUGGGUUGGGAUCUCGUUAGCACGCACCCUUUGUUUGGAUGGAACUUGGCAAUCUCUUGUUAACUCGUUCUCGACGAAUGCAUCUUAUAUAAUUUCGACGGUGUUGUGGGUUUACUGGGGUGUUUGUAUCAGCGAUAUGGUUCCAUUCUAUCUUGGUAAGCUUUUUAGACAAACAAGAGCAUCUGAAGACAUAUACAGCAAGCUUGGAAUUAGCAAGGAGAAAGCCGUAAGUGUAUCUCGUGCUAUACAAAAGUACGGGAACCUGAUUGGCUUUGUUGAGCGGUUUUCUAUUGGCAUAAGGAAUCCGACAGGAUUUCUGGCAGGCGCAGUAGGCGUAUCAGCAGACUGUUAUUUCGCUGGAGUUUGUUGCGGCUGUCUAUUUACUCUUCCUAUCCAGUUAGCCGUCGGAUUUUAUCUCAGAGAACGCCCAGUCGUGGCGCUCGCGAGCGUUGCAGCUGCCGUGGGCAUCUGGACUGUGUUCCCUUACGCGGCAGCGGCGUGCACGGCUUUAUUCCUCUACCUUCGACGCAGGCCCAGCAGCUGA
This 1065-nucleotide ribosomal RNA is filed under the name Triticum aestivum (bread wheat). RNAcentral's name for it is "partial small subunit ribosomal RNA". The record is from RNAcentral. Lineage: Eukaryota; Viridiplantae; Streptophyta; Magnoliopsida; Poales; Poaceae.